RNAcentral lists this ribosomal RNA (494 nucleotides) under uncultured bacterium. RNAcentral's name for it is "partial 16S ribosomal RNA". It matches the Rfam family "Bacterial small subunit ribosomal RNA", at positions 28 to 507 of the family's 1533-position model. The record is from RNAcentral.
GACGAACGCUGGCGGCGUGCUUAACACAUGCAAGUCGAACGGUGAAGCGCCUUCCUUUUUGGUGGGUGUGGAUGAGUGGCGAACGGGUGAGUAACACGUGAGUAACCUGCCCCCUUCUUCUGGAUAACCGCAUGAAAGUGUCGCUAAUACGGGAUAUUCUGGGUCUGUCGCAUGAUGGGUCUGGGAAAGAUAUUGUUUCGGUGGGGGAUGGGCUCGCGGCCUAUCAGCUUGUUGGUGGGGUGAUGGCCUACCAAGGCGGUGACGGGUAGCCGGCCUGAGAGGGUGGACGGUCACACUGGGACUGAGACACGGCCCAGACUCCUACGGGAGGCAGCAGUGGGGAAUAUUGCACAAUGGGCGCAAGCCUGAUGCAGCGACGCCGCGUGAGGGAUGGAGGCCUUCGGGUUGUGAACCUCUUUCGCCAGUGAAGCAGGCCUGCCUCGUUUGUGGGUGGGUUGACGGUAGCUGGAUAAGAAGCGCCGGCUAACUACGUG